AUGAACGCUGGCGGCGUGACCUAAUACAUGCAAGUCGAGCGAACAGACGAGGAGCUUGCUCCUCUGACGUUAGCGGCGGACGGGUGAGUAACACGUGAUAACCUACCUAUAAGACUGGGAUAACUUCGGGAAACCGGAGCUAAUACCGGAUAAUAUAUUGAACCGCAUGGUUCAAUAGUGAAAGACGGUUUCGCUGUCACUUAUAGAUGGAUCCGCGCCGCAUUAGCUAGUUGGUAAGGUAACGGCUUACCAAGGCAACGAUGUGUAGCCGACCUGAGAGGGUGAUCGGCCACACUGGAACUGAGACACGGUCCAGACUCCUACGGGAGGCAGCAGUAGGGAAUCUUCCGCAAUGGGCGAAAGCCUGACGGAGCAACGCCGCGUGAGUGAUGAAGGUCUUCGGAUCGUAAAACUCUGUUAUUAGGGAAGAACAAAUGUGUAAGUAACUAUGCACGUCUUGACGGUACCUAAUCAGAAAGCCACGGCUAACUACGUG
Molecule: ribosomal RNA, 496 nt
Filed under: uncultured bacterium
Lineage: Bacteria
Description: bacterial SSU rRNA
Rfam family: Bacterial small subunit ribosomal RNA
Source: RNAcentral